This 606-nucleotide ribosomal RNA is filed under the name Hepatozoon canis. RNAcentral's name for it is "bacterial SSU rRNA". It matches the Rfam family "Eukaryotic small subunit ribosomal RNA", at positions 173 to 765 of the family's 1831-position model. The record is from RNAcentral. Lineage: Eukaryota; Apicomplexa; Hepatozoidae.
GAGCAAAAUCUCAACUUUAUUAGAAGAGACGCAUUUAUUAGAUAAAAAGCCAGUUCAUGCUUUUAUAGUAUGAAAAUUGGUGAUUUAUAAUAACUUAGCAAAUCGCAAAGUGAAAACAGGCGAUAAAUCAUUCAAGUUUCUGACCUAUCAGCUUUCGACGGUAUGGUAUUGGCUUACCGUGGCAGUGACGGUUAACGGGGGAUUAGGGUUCGAUUCCGGAGAGGGAGCCUGAGAAACGGCUACCACAUCUAAGGAAGGCAGCAGGCGCGCAAAUUACCCAAUUCUAACAGUUUGAGAGAGGUAGUAACAAGAAAUAACAAUACAAGGCAGUUAAAAUGCUUUGUAAUUGGAAUGAUAGAAAUUUAAACCCUUUUUAAAGUAUCAAUUGGAGGGCAAGUCUGGUGCCAGCAGCCGCGGUAAUUCCAGCUCCAAUAGCGUAUAUUAAAAUUGUUGCAGUUAAAAAGCUCGUAGUUGAAGUUCUGCUGAAAGUAACCGGUCUGCUUUUAAUAAAAGUGGUAUCUUGGUAUGUAUUUAGCAAUGAUGUCCUUUGAAGUGUUUUUUUCUUUAUUGUAAUAAAGCAUAUUCAGGACUUUUACUUUGAGAAAA